AUAACUUUGCAACGAGUACUUUUUCUCAUUCUAUCGAACAAAGAGUAAAACCUAAAUUAUUGUUCUAUUAUCCCCGGGAGAGUGGUAAAUUUGAACGAAUCAAUGUCAGUGUUACAAGAACAAAUCCGAUCAGAUUAGACAACUCAGUUGCGCAAUAACAGUUGUAACUUGCAGCGAGUACUUUUUAUCAUCUAUCGAACAAAGCGUAAAAACUAAUUAUUAAUUGUUCUAUCAUGCCUAGAGAGUGUAAAUUUGGAACGAAUCGAUGUCAACGUUCACAAGAACAAAAACCGGAACAACAUUAGACAACUCAGUUGCGCCCUAACAGUAUAACUUUGAAACGAGUACUUUUUCUCAUUCUAUCAAACAAAAGGUAAAACCUAAUUAUAUAGUUCAAUUAUGUCCCGAGAGUGUAAAUUUGGAAUGAAUCGAUGUCAACGUUCACAAGAACCAAAACCGGAACAAAAUUAGACAACUCAGUUGUGCCCGAACAGUAUAACUUUGAAACGAGUACUUUUUCUCAUUCUAUCGAACAAAGAGUAAAACCUAAUUAUUUUGUUCUAUUAUGCUCCGAGAGUGUAAAUUUGGAAUGAAUCGAUGUCAACGUUCACAAGAACCAAAACCAGAACAACAUUUGAAUACUCAGUUGCGCCCUAAUAGUAUAACUUUGCAACGAGUACUUUUUCUCAUUCUAUCGAACAAAGAGUAAACCUAAUUAUAUUCUUCUAUUAUGCCCAGAGAGUGUAAAUUUGGAACGAAUCUAUGUCAACGUUCACAAGAACCAAAACCGGAACAACAUUAGGCUAAUCAGUUAGGCCCCAACAGUAUAACUUUGAAACGAGUACUUUUUCUCAUUCUAUUGAACAAAGUGUAAAACCUAAUUAUAUUGUUCUAUCAUGCCCAGAGAGUGUAAAUUUGGAACGAAUCGAUGUCAACGUUCACAAAACAAAAACCGUAACAACAUUAGACUACUCAGUUGCGCCCUAGCAGUAUAACUUUGAAACGAGUACUUUUUCUAAUUCUAUCGAACAAAGAGUAAAACCUAAUUAUAUAGUUCCAUUAUGCUCCGAGAGUGUAAAUUUGGAAUGAAUCGAUGUCAACGUUCACAAGAACCAAAACCGGAACAACAUUACAAUACUUAGUUGCACCCUAAUAGUAUAACAUUGCAACGAGUACUUUUUCUCAUUCUAUCGAACAAAGAGUAAAACCUAAUUAUAUUCUACUAUUAUGCCCAGAGAGUGUAAAUUUGGAACGAAUCUAUGUCAACGUUCACAAAAACCAAAACCGGAACAACAUUAGACUACUCAGUUGCGCCCUAACAGUAUAACUUUGCAACUAGUACUUUUUCUCAUUCUAUCGAACAAAGAGUAAAACCUAAUUAUAUUGUUCUAUCAUGCCUAGAGAGUGUAAUUUUGGAACGAAUCGAUGUCAACGUUCACAAGAACAAAAACCGGAACAACAUUAGACAACUCAGUUGCGCCCUAACAGUAUAACUUUGAAACGAGUACUUUUUCUCAUUCUAUCGAACAAAGNNNNNNNNNNNNNNNNNNNNNNNNNGAGUUGAACUUGAGGCAGCGCAGAUGGUUGGAGCUACUCAAGGAUUAUGACUUGACUAUUCUUUACCACCCGGGCAAGGCUAACGUGGUGGCGGAUGCGCUAAGUCGGAAAUCGACGCAGAACUUAGCGAUGCUUGUGGUUACUCAACCGCCGUUGAUCGAGCAGAUGAAGCGGUUGGAGUUGGAGGUGGUGGCUCCUGACACACCUUUGAGGCUGAUGACUUUGGUGGUGCAACCUAUCCUUUUGGAAAGGAUUAAAGAAAAGCAAGCUUCCGACUUGGAUUUGCAAAAGAUUCG
This 1853-nucleotide long non-coding RNA is filed under the name Ananas comosus (pineapple). RNAcentral's name for it is "long non-coding RNA (ACOM_LNC043760)". The record is from RNAcentral. Lineage: Eukaryota; Viridiplantae; Streptophyta; Magnoliopsida; Poales; Bromeliaceae.